This is an RNA transcript of Saccostrea cuccullata (small rock oyster), 1370 nucleotides long. RefSeq lists it as uncharacterized. The transcript has 5 exons. The record is from RefSeq and is a predicted model, not a curated record. Lineage: Eukaryota; Metazoa; Mollusca; Bivalvia; Ostreida; Ostreidae.
ACUGGAAAAGGAAUUGCUUGCCCUAAAAAUAGAGUCUAGUAAAAGGAAGCCAAUAUCAAUCCACGAUAUUAAAUACAACGAAGAGAAGGUCUCUGAUCAGCAGGGGCAUUUUCUCUAUAUAAGAAGAAAAUGGAGACUCCCUACCCACCCGAUGUAUUUUGUCGGACAGUUUUCUGUACAUUGCAGUCACCAAUAUAUCCAAAUAUCAUCACCGGCCCAGACGUCAUUCACUCCUUUGAAUUGUGCUGGUAGCAGUAAGGUGUCAUCAUUUGAGAUGGUCACAGUAUCCAAUACACUGAAGUCACAGGACUCAAAUUUCAUACAUGUUCACAGAUGCUGUCUGAUGGCGUAGUGUAGAAUGUAGCGUAGAAUGUUUUCCAAGUCAGCUUAAAUGCAAAGGGUCUCUGCCAAAAUCUUUUGAGGAUUUUUCCUCUGCUAGAGCAUCCAUGGAUGCAAUUGAAACAAUCCAGGACAUCCCAACACAUAUGGAUAAUCAGGCAAUGGCCUACAGUAUGUACAAAAGUUGCCAUACUUUUAAAGCAGUAACUUGCGUGCCUCCAAAUGGUGCACUUACAUUUUGCUCCAUGCUGUACCCAGGUUCUACUUCUGAUGUAGCUAUUGUACGUCACAGCCAAGUUUUACGAAAGUUCAAAGCUGGAGACCUUAUUUUGGUGGUCAAAGGUUUCACCAUUCAUGACCAGUUGCCCCAGGGUGUCUGCUUAAUUAUAAAAGCUCUUUUAUCGACACGAGGCCAGUUUACCAUACAAGAAGCAGCACUGUGUUACAAAAUUGCUAAAGCACUUAUUCAUGUGGAAAGAGCCAACGAGAGGAUAAAGAAUUACGAGAUUCUCCGUCACAUACCAUCUACUUACAGACCAAUCUCAACAAAAAUAUUUCAACUCUGUUCUUGUCUUGUAAACUUGCAAGCUCCACUUUUGAAAGAAAUUACUUAAAGAUACAUGUACUUAUUAUAAAUUUGCAUUGGCGUGUGACAGUAUACACUAAACAGUGAAGAUAUUCAUACCAAAGUGCAAGGGAUAAGCAAAUUUUGAUUUGUUAUCAAUGUCAAUGGUUAUAUAUGUUAACUUUGUAGUAUGUUGUAAUACAUAUACUUCAGAAAAUGAAAAUCCCUUUUGUUAGCAUGGAUUUAUUACAAGAAUGUUUGGCAAUUCCAUUCUUCAUUUGACAAUAUAAUUUGGAAGAGGGUUUACUUAUAAUUUUAAAUCUCUAGUUUAAAGUAUAUUUACCUUUAAAGCACAACUCAACAAAUUCAUGUUUUCAACAAUUUAUCUAUUAAGAAAGACCAAAAUGUUACAUUUUCACUUUGAGAAUAACAUCUUCAAUUCAUUAAUAAAAUGAUUCUAAAUUUU